Molecule: transfer RNA, 67 nt
Filed under: Glaucidium brasilianum (ferruginous pygmy-owl)
Lineage: Eukaryota; Metazoa; Chordata; Aves; Strigiformes; Strigidae
Description: tRNA-Val
Source: RNAcentral
CGAGGCGUAGCUAUAAUACAAAGCAUUCAGCUUACACCUGAAAGAUAUCUGCCCCAGAUCGCCUUGA